Penaeus vannamei (Pacific white shrimp) is the source of this 323-nucleotide non-coding RNA. Lineage: Eukaryota; Metazoa; Arthropoda; Malacostraca; Decapoda; Penaeidae. The record is from RefSeq and is a predicted model, not a curated record.
UACAUCCACUACUGCCCCUGAUACAUCGUCUCUCCCAUCCACAACCACUUCAGCAGCCCCGGCCUGCGACUACGCAGCCUUCACGGCCGACCAUUCCAUGCUGAAAUCCCCUGCGUGUACCAACACCAAGCCCCCACUGACCGAAGCGGAGAAGACAGAAAUCCUGAGCGUUCAUAACACUCUCAGGGCGAAGGUGGCCAGAGGCGACGAGACCGCGGGCGAUCCGGGACCUCAGCCCAAAGGCGCCAACAUCCGGGAGCUGAAAUGGAACGAUGAGUUGGCAGACGUGGCACAGGCCUGGAUGGGUCAGUGCACCUUCGCCA